GGCCGGGCUUCGCGGGCGGGCGGAGGGGCGGGGAGCCCGGUGGCCAGCGCUUGUAGGGCUGCAGCGCCGCGGACCUGGAGCCGAGCGGCCGCGCGCCAGGUGUCCAGUGCCCGGUGCCCCCCGUGCCCGGUGCCCGGCGAGCUGCCCCGAGGGACCCCGAGGCCGCCGCAGCUGGAUUCUGCAAGGCUGCGGCCCAGCUGUGUGCGAACAGCUGGAGGCCACGGGCCGCGCCGGGACAGAGAUGCGCACCUGGGGCAGCGGACACCGUGAGCUCAGGUCCUACCGGCCCGGGAACUGCGCGGACUGUCGCACCUCCUUCCCUUGAGUCGGGAAUCCGACUGGAGUCCAGACCCUAAGAUUGCGAUGAUUUCCCGGUGCAACAUCCCAAGCCCCUGGAAUUGAAGCCCCUGAAAUCGAAGGGGAUGUGCGAAGGCAGGGCCCUUUCCCCAGGGGGUUGCAGUCACCAGCUCCUGCAGCCUUGCUCAGUUGGGACAACACAACCUGCCGCUGUUAGGCACUUUGCAGGUUAUCCAAUAAGUAACUUGAGAUUUUAGCCUAUCUGCGGUUCCACUUUAUAACUCCUGCUCUGCUGUGGAUCUUGAUGUGGAGGAGAUGGAGGACUCAGAACCGAGGAUUUCCAAGUGAUUUCUUCCAAAGCAUGGAAACUAACUCUGUUAAGGCUGAUCUGUUCUAACUGAGGAGGUAAAGAAGAAUAGAUUUAAAUGUGAAAAUGAAGACAGGUCAUGGAGGGCUUCGCACCUCAUCCUUUAUUUAUGGAGUGCAUUCUGUAUGCAAAGCUCUGUGCUAGGAUCACAAAGUUCAAAGCAAGGUCCCCA
This is a long non-coding RNA of Nannospalax galili (Upper Galilee mountains blind mole rat), 836 nucleotides long. RefSeq lists it as uncharacterized. The transcript is spliced from 3 exons. The record is from RefSeq and is a predicted model, not a curated record. NCBI's taxonomy places the organism in Eukaryota, Metazoa, Chordata, Mammalia, Rodentia, Spalacidae.